CUUCACCGGAGGGAGAGCGGGUGGAAGUGAGGUUGUUGGGACUUGCUGUGUGGUGUUGUGUGUGUGGGGUGUGUGUGUGUGCGUGGCGGCGCGUGUAGGCCCAGUGUGUGAGUGGAUGCGUGAAUGUGUGAGUGCGUGCGCCCGCCCCUGCACCCCUCCCCCGGCCUACACGUUGAUCUUAUUUGAUCGGGUUGUGACUCCAGCCCCGCCUGGCCGACCCGAAAUGAAAAGCUUCCCUCCUGCGAAGCCCUUCCUCGGGGCGCUGUGCAGCGAGGCCCCGUGGGCGGUGGCAGUGCCGUGGCCCCGGAGGUUCCGGAGCCGGUCCUGUGGGGCCCGGCGCUCAGAAGUGAUGAAUUGAUCAGAUAGACGAGGCCGGGCUCGUCCCGCGCCAUUGAUUAUCGAGGCGAUUCUGAUCUGA
RNAcentral lists this small nucleolar RNA (418 nucleotides) under Moschus moschiferus (Siberian musk deer). RNAcentral's name for it is "Small Cajal body-specific RNA 2 (ENSMMSG00000003549.1)". It matches the Rfam family "Small Cajal body-specific RNA 2". The record is from Rfam by way of RNAcentral. Lineage: Eukaryota; Metazoa; Chordata; Mammalia; Artiodactyla; Moschidae.